AUGGCCAACGCGGGUCAAAGCGCAGUAUCUUUUCUUAUCAGCUUAAUAUUUGACACGGGUUGUAUUCACACGCAAGAUAAUAAACUUAUUUUUGCAAGUUGGCGGAGUGCUUGAAGCCUGCUUCACCUCCGUCGCGGGUCGGCCUGAUAUUGCACUGUCCUCCGGAUUAUUGGUCUACGGACA
Small nuclear RNA from Dermacentor silvarum, 183 nucleotides. RefSeq annotates it as U2 spliceosomal RNA. The record is from RefSeq and is a predicted model, not a curated record. The transcript has a single exon. Lineage: Eukaryota; Metazoa; Arthropoda; Arachnida; Ixodida; Ixodidae.